Small nucleolar RNA from Lolium rigidum, 92 nucleotides. RefSeq annotates it as small nucleolar RNA SNORD96 family. The transcript has a single exon. The record is from RefSeq and is a predicted model, not a curated record. NCBI's taxonomy places the organism in Eukaryota, Viridiplantae, Streptophyta, Magnoliopsida, Poales, Poaceae.
UGUCCAGUGAUGAAAAACUUACUACUCAUACCAUCUUUCGGGGUUGAUCGGUCGAUAUGUGGCCAUGUUGUUAUUCUGCAAUUCUAAUGCCA